UCGUUGUAAACGCGACGUAAUAUUACGACGAAGUUACCAGGCCCGCGUUUUUUCAUUUACGACGAAGUUACCAGGCCCGCGUUUUUCGAUUUACGACAAAAUUACGUCGAAACAUCGGUUUACGACGAAUUUACAAGGCCCACGUUUACGACGAAGUUACCAGGCCCGCGUUUUUCGAUUUACGACAAAAUUACGUCGAAACAUCGGUUUACGACGAAUUUAC
Molecule: long non-coding RNA, 223 nt
Filed under: Brassica napus (rape)
Lineage: Eukaryota; Viridiplantae; Streptophyta; Magnoliopsida; Brassicales; Brassicaceae
Description: long non-coding RNA (BNAP_LNC021145)
Source: RNAcentral